This 3724-nucleotide long non-coding RNA is filed under the name Bos grunniens (domestic yak). Its description in RNAcentral is "lncRNA (ENSBGRG00000009697.1)". The record is from RNAcentral. Lineage: Eukaryota; Metazoa; Chordata; Mammalia; Artiodactyla; Bovidae.
CCUGCCUCUGCUCUCUGCUUUCAGACCAUGACUCUGUGUGAGGGCGGGCACUUCUUUCUCCUGUGGUGGUAAUGAUGAAUCAGAUGGAAUGGCUGCUGAUGCUUGGAUGUCAAUUAGUGAAACUCUAACUGCAGGGAAACCUCUCAGACAGGUCCUAAGUGUCUUAAUCUCUCAGUAGGCUUUCUCCUCUAAAGGCUUAGGUGGCUGAUAGUGUGUUUGAGUUGCUGAUCCUUUCUUUGAUCACGCCUUAUAGGAUUAUUCUGUAAUGAGAUGGUGCCGAGGAAGUGAGGCUGUGAUUUGGUUGUCGUACUCAUGCUUAGGCAAACUCCAUCCUUUCAGUUUUCUUCCUUCUUCUUUUGCUCCCUUCAGUGGCAUAGAAACCCUUCAGUGGCAUUCUCACCAAAGCACAUAACUUUUGAUUCCUCCAGCUCUCACCAAACUGUAGAAGAGUCAGAGGGAUCCUCAAACAGGAAAAUAGGAUUUAUCAGUUCCUUGCAUACCCAGGGCACUUUCCCCUUGUUAUCAUCUUAUUUCAAAACCAUGACACCUGAUCCUUAUGGCAAUGUGGGGGUAGUCAGGGUUAAGUGUUACUACUUCCAAUUUACAGAAGAGGAAAAUAAGGUUCAGAGAGAGAGAGAGCGCUACAGGACAGCAGAUCCAUUCCAAGACCAGUACUCUCAUUUCCUUACUGCAACAGGACCCUCUGACCACCCAGGUCUUUGGAACAGCAGAUGCGGAGGGAUCUUCCUAAUUCAAUGAGAGAAGCAGACUUCAUGCAGCCAGAAGGAUUUGGAUUAGACAGUCAAGGACUUCCUGCCUGUUAAAUGAUCAGAAGAAGGUAAGGCUUUUCUUGCCGGCUCCCAUGUCCUCUGACAUGAGCCAGGCACUCUCUGAUCUGAAGACAGAGGUGCAUGAAGAAAAUCUGGGAGGUGCUUUCAUCUCAGGAAUCUGCUAACUGCCAGAACAGGAGGUAGGAAGGAGGGGAGGAAGAGUCUAUUAAAAUCCACUCUGUUACAGAGAGGUUCAAUAGAGAGGCUGGCGUCUGGGCUCAGAGUGACUCAUGCCCUUGCUGAUGUCCUGACAGCUAGAGGGUCUUGGCUGGCUUGGGUUUCCCUACUUGCAUUGGCUCAGAAGGCUCUUCGAGGUGGAGGUCUCCGGCCGGCUUCCAGGUAGAGUUGGUUAGCACCAAUAUUCCCUACUCUGGGUUGUGAGAGCGCUUUGGUGAAAAAAAAAAAAAAAGCAAUAUAGUAAAAAUCUUGGCUAUCUAAAAUACCUCUGGAAAUGAAGCAUUUUGGAUAGUGGAAUUUUCCAUAAAGCUGAGGAUUUUUCCAUUUAAGUCGAGACUUUUAUUUUGUGUGUUUUUUUAGAUAGAUUGAAUCAAUAUAACAUUUCUGGUUUACUUGGAGACAAGAAGUGAAUGAUAGUUGGUCCAUGCCAUUAAUACAGUCAUUCCCUGGGGGUUAAUGAACUACAUUGUUCACCCCAAAAGUAAAUGCUGACACCUUUGUGUUUAUUGAGCUCCUCUGUCUGCUUUUUUGUUUUUCUGACCCUCCUUGCUUUAGGAGAUCUCACCUCUCGUUCCUUGCCAAUAUCAGUGCAUCUGAUUCUAGUGCUCUCAGUUUUUCUUUGCAUUUGUCUCUUUUUUCCCCAUUUGUAGAUCACAAGCUACUGGUGAUUUUACCUAUUUUUGUCCAGUACCUGGUAUGGGAUCAAAAAUUUAGAGGCUCAUUAUUUAUAUUUAUAUUAAUUUAUUUGUUCAAUAAGCAAGUAUUGGGCAUUUACGCUGUAGUAGGCAACAUGGUAAGUGCUGAGGAUAUAAUGAUGAAAAACUCAGAUGAACAGGCUGACUUGUUUCGUGAUCUGGGAAUUCACUUCUAAAGGAGGCUGGCUCAGCCCUUCCCGCAAGUCCACUCCUGUCUCACUACCCUCCAGCCUCAUGGCUCUCAUACUGCGUGUGCCCUGGCAUCACCUGGAUGACCUGUUAAACACGCACAUACACACACACAGCUGGGCUGCACCCUUGGAGUUUCUGACUCUUUCAUGAGACCCAGGAAUGCUUCCUUCUCGUCAGUUCCCACAGAUGCUGAUGCUACUGGUCUGGGAGGGUCACACCAGAAGCACCAGUUUCGCCACGUGACCUUCAGUCUGCCCUUCAAGUGCUCAGACUCGCUCCUACCUCCAGGAGCUGGCUUCUGCUGUGCCCUCUGUCUGAUCUUGGCCCCGAGGGCCCGCGUUCAUCCUCUGCUCAGAGAGGCCUUGCCUGAACAUCCAAGAGAAUAUUGUUUUCCCCUUCCCAGCCCCUCAAUGUCAUAUUCCUUGGUUUUGUUCCUCCUUAGACUUCUGUCACUCUCUGAAAUUACCUUUGUGUGGUUGUCUCAAGGGUAACUGUGACUGAUGAAGAGAUACUAACACACCCGGACAAAGGAUGCACGUUUCUUUCAUGUAAUUAAAAGACAUAAGAGUUUCCAUGCGUGAGGACGGCUACAAAGCUGAGGCGGGGAUUGUGCGUUGUGGGGGGAGUGCGGUGGUGGGUGGGGAGCCAUGGUUUUUCACUGAAAGUCACAGCCCUGUGGCUGGUGUGUCAGCCGGCUGAGGUGAGGAUCCCCUCCGUCCUCAGGGAGCUCCGCCUUGUCUGUUCUUAGGGUCCUGUCACUCUCUGGACUCCUGCUUACUGCUCUGCAGACUAGAGCGUUUCCUGCAAGCCCAGUUUCCCAGGUGAAACAGCCGCUUGGCAGGAUGGAAUUCCAGAUUUGCUUGCAUCUGUUCCUGCAAUCUUGUAUUUUAAUUUUUUGUCUUAUCUAUCUUGUUGUUGUUCAGUCACUUAGUUGUGUCCAACUUUUUGUAAUCCCAUGAACUGCAGCCUCCCAGGCUUUCCUGUCCUUCCCUAGCUACUUGAGUUUGGUCAAACUCAUGUUCAUUGAGUCAGUGAUGCCAUCCAACUAUCUCAUCCUCUGUUGUCCCCUUCUCCUCCUGCCCUCAAUCUUUCCCAGCAUCAGGGUCUUUUCCAAUGAGUCAGCUCUUCACAUCAGGUAGCUUUGGCUACCUGUGUAUUGGAGCUUCAGCUUCAGCAUCUGUCCUUCCAAUGAAUAUUCAGGGUUGAUUCCCUUUAGGAUGGACUAGUUUGAUCUCCUUGCUGUCCAAGAGACUCUCAAGAGUCUUCUCCAGCACCACAGUUCAAAAGUAUCAAUUCUUCAGCUUAUCUAUCUUAUUUGUUUGUUUAUCUGUCUCUCUCCCAAGAGUGUAUAAUAGCCAUGGCAGGUGAGUGAGAGGUGAGGGGAUUGGCUUUCCUCUUUGCUAGUGUUUCCUCAGUUCCCAGAGCCUUGCAGGGAAGGGACAUUUACUACUUGUAAGCUCCCUCCUCCUUCCUUCACCUAAUGGGGAGGUAAGUAUGUGCCUGUUGAAUGUAAUUUAAUUCUUUCAGGGCCACGAGCAUCCACCCUCCAAAGACAGUCCUCUGUUACCCUGCAGCUCAUUUCAGAGAGUGCCAGGAGGAGAAAGGCAAAUGGUAGCAAGAGCACACGGUCCUUCCUUCCAAUCUUAACGGAGCAUGAGCUCUCAGGCAAGAGCCGUUUGUUCAUGUUCUGCUUUUUUUGUUUUUCUCCCUCUCAUUUCCCCUGCUCUGGUGUGUUGCUCUGACUUCAGAGCUGUAAUAACAAACCUAUUACUACAGUAAGACACCAGAAGGGGAAAAUGAGACUAAGUUACCAAGGAAGAAAGAGACUCA